This is an RNA transcript of Macaca mulatta (Rhesus monkey), 1806 nucleotides long. It is a transcript of the gene named dnaJ homolog subfamily C member 7 pseudogene, with no coding region annotated. Lineage: Eukaryota; Metazoa; Chordata; Mammalia; Primates; Cercopithecidae. The record is from RefSeq and is a predicted model, not a curated record.
CAAUAAACAGGGUCCCGGCGGUAAGAUGGCGGCUGCCGCGGAGUGCGAUGUGGUAAUGGCGGCGACCGAGCCAGAGCUGCUCGACGACGAAGAGGCGAAGAGGGAAGCAGAGACUUUCAAGGAACAAGGAAAUGCAUACUAUGCCAAGAAAGAUUACAAUGAAGCUUAUAAUUAUUAUACAAAAGCCAUAGAUAUGUGUCCUAAAAAUGCUAGCUAUUAUGGUAAUCGAGCAGCCACCUUGAUGAUGCUUGGAAGGUUCCGGGAAGCUCUUGGAGAUGCACAACAGUCAGUGAGGUUGGAUGACAGUUUUGUCCGGGGACAUCUACGAGAGGGCAAGUGCCAUCUCUCUCUAGGAAAUGCCAUGGCAGCAUGUCGCAGCUUCCAGAGAGCCCUAGAACUGGAUCAUAAAAAUGCUCAGGCACAACAAGAGUUCAAGAAUGCUAAUGCAGUCAUGGAAUAUGAGAAAAUAGCAGAAACAGAUUUUGAGAAGCGAGAUUUUCGGAAGGUUGUUUUCUGCAUGGACCGUGCCCUAGAAUUUGCCCCUGCCUGCCAUCGCUUCAAAAUCCUCAAGGCAGAAUGUUUAGCAAUGCUGGGUCGUUAUCCAGAAGCACAGUCUGUGGCUAGUGACAUUCUACGAAUGGAUUCUACCAAUGCAGAUGCUCUAUAUGUACGAGGUCUUUGCCUUUAUUAUGAAGAUUGUAUUGAGAAGGCAGUUCAGUUUUUCGUACAGGCUCUCAGGAUGGCUCCUGACCAUGAGAAAGCCUGCAUUGCCUGCAGAAAUGCCAAAGCACUCAAAGCAAAGAAAGAAGAUGGGAAUAAAGCAUUUAAGGAAGGAAAUUACAAACUAGCAUAUGAACUGUACACAGAAGCCCUGGGGAUAGACCCCAACAAUAUAAAAACAAAUGCUAAACUCUACUGUAAUCGGGGUACGGUUAAUUCCAAGCUUAGGAAACUAGAUGAUGCAAUAGAAGACUGCACAAAUGCAGUGAAGCUUGAUGACACUUACAUAAAAGCCUACUUGAGAAGAGCUCAGUGUUACAUGGACACAGAACAGUAUGAAAAAGCAGUACGAGACUAUGAAAAAGUGUAUCAGACGGAGAAAACAAAAGAACACAAACAGCUCCUAAAAAAUGCACAGCUGGAACUGAAGAAGAGUAAGAGGAAAGAUUACUACAAGAUUCUGGGAGUGGACAAGAAUUCCUCUGAGGACGAGAUCAAGAAAGCUUAUCGGAAACGGGCCUUGAUGCACCAUCCAGAUCGGCAUAGUGGAGCCAGUGCUGAGGUUCAGAAGGAGGAGGAGAAGAAGUUCAAGGAAGUUGGAGAAGCCUUUACUAUCCUCUCUGAUCCCAAGAAAAAGACUCGCUAUGACAGUGGACAGGACCUAGAUGAGGAGGGCAUGAAUAUGGGUGAUUUUGAUCCAAACAAUAUCUUCAAGGCUUUCUUCGGCGGUCCUGGAGGCUUCAGCUUUGAAGCAUCUGGUCCAGGGAGUUUCUUUUUUCAAUUUGGCUAAUGAAGGGCAACCACCCAGAACCCAGAAAAUGCAGAUUCACUCAGUUUAAUCUUGAAUGUGGAAACAGUUCACCUCCUCCCUUCAUCACGUCUCCAUGUACUUAGAGCAGUUUCGUUUUCUCAGUUGGAUGCCCUGUGUCUCUGUGAGUGGGGUGGAGCAAAGGGAACCAAUGCCCAAGACCGCGGGCAGGGGAGGGAGGCGGGGGUGGACAGGGAGGCAGCUUGUGAAUUUUUGUUUUACUGUUUAACUUUAUUAAAAAAGAAAAAAAAAGAAGAGAAUAAAAUGUUUUGACCCUU